AUGCCUCCUCACCAGGGUUAUUUUUCCAGCAAAGCCACAAAGGGCAGGGUUGGUACGACGGAGAGGUGGGACUGCAGGGCRGGACAGCGCUUUCCGCACCGAGGGAAGCAAAAAGGGCUCUGCUCCCGGCGGCAGGUUCCUGCCGCAGCCGUCUCCCUGCCCUCCUCCUCCGGCGCCCCCGGGACGCGGGGCGGCUCCCGCGGGAUGCCCCGGCACGCCACCCCACGCAAGCGACCCCAUUCCUUCCCUGCUCCCGAAACGCUCUCGGUCCGAAGGAAAGUCGCGCGGGGACAGUCCCGCGCCCCGGUCCCGCGCCCUGGUCCCGCGCCCCCCCGCCGCGCUGCCCUCCCUGCCUGCAAGCAUCAGCUCACCCCCGGCGGCCGGCGGAGAGUGAGGCCGAAGAAGCGGCUCCGCGGAGGGUGCCGYGGCAGACGUCGGUGCGGCGCGGCGCGCAAACAGGAAACGCCGGGGAGGCAGAAGCAGCCGCCGAGCAGCGCUGCAACACGGCCCGGGGCCCGAGCGCGCCCCUGCGAGCGGCAGCCCCCACCGGCGCCUGGCCGGGCUCGCCGCUGCCGCCGCCGCCACCUUCCCCUCGCCCAGACGGGGAGCGGGGUCACGCCGGCCGCCGCCGAGGGCCUCACGUCGUACCCGUCUCGCCAGCCCGCGCCGGAUCCAGGCUCUGCCUGCGUGACUCAGCUCGGCGCGCGUCUCCGCGGCACGGCGCUCGGGGCGGUGGCGGCGAGCCGGACCCCACCGCCGGGCACAGCCGCGGCCCCCUCUGCCCUCCGCCGGGCUGGGCCGGGCCGGAUGGUGACGAGCACAUGCGCACGUGCGCGCGGGCGCCCAGGCCCGCGAGGAGGAGGAGGAGGAGAGGCGAAGGAAAUGGUGUCAGCCCGCCCGCCGCCGGCACCCGUGGCGGGGCGCUGUGCCCGCCGUGCCGCACGCUGCGCCGCAGGGACCAGAAGGGCCCCGCCGCGUCGCUUCCCGGCCCCACGCCUGCAACGGGGGGGGGGGCACGCCCAGCUCCCUAAACUGGUUCCAACCGGGAAGCGCUCCUCCGAGGGCUGCACGCCGCUUCAGGAGCRAGAGGGGGCUGCGAACGCGCGGGCAGCUCCCUCCUCGGGGCGCAGACCGCUGCCAAACGGCGACGAGAAACGCUUCUGCAGGAGGAAACUGCCCCAAGGGGGGGUCGAUUCCCUGCGGGGAAACCGGGGCCGGGACGCGGCCAGAGCGGGUGCCCCCGCGGGUCCGACCGGCCUGGGCGCCCCUCGGCAGCGGCGGGGGAGAAGACGGGCCGGGAUGGGGCGCACGGAGAGAGACGGGGCUCCGAAACGCUGCCGGCUCGCUCCCGAAGCGCGGCCACCCUCGCCGCGUGCCGAGCGGCAUGCCUGCGGGAGCGCCGGCCUUCCCCGCACGCGGCCUCGGAAAAGGCAGCGAGAGGAAGGCUGCGCCGGUGCGCGCCAGGAUCCCGGAGCAACGUCCGGCCAGAGCGGUCCACACCCGGCGAGGGCAGGGAGCCGGCCGGGACACAACGCCGCUCUUGUUCCCGAGGAGGAUGCGCGUUUCCUCCCGGCGCAAGCGGAAGGAGGAAGGUGCCCUGGGAAGGAAGCGAAAGUGGCGGCUCCGGGUUCGAGUCCCCGCUCUGCCCCGGCACGCUGCGUGCAGCGAGUCCGCCCUGCUCCGCCGGGCGCGUACCGACACGGCGCUGCUGCUCCGGAGCGGCUCCGAGGGCCGUGA
Apteryx haastii (Great spotted kiwi) is the source of this 1737-nucleotide long non-coding RNA. NCBI's taxonomy places the organism in Eukaryota, Metazoa, Chordata, Aves, Apterygiformes, Apterygidae. The record is from Ensembl.